GACGAACGCUGGCGGCGUGCUUAACACAUGCAAGUCGAACGGAAAGGCCCUGCUUUUGUGGGGUGCUCGAGUGGCGAACGGGUGAGUAACACGUGAGUAACCUGCCCUUGACUUUGGGAUAACUUCAGGAAACUGGGGCUAAUACCGGAUAGGAGCUCCUGCUGCAUGGUGGGGGUUGGAAAGUUUCGGCGGUUGGGGAUGGACUCGCGGCUUAUCAGCUUGUUGGUGGGGUAGUGGCUUACCAAGGCUUUGACGGGUAGCCGGCCUGAGAGGGUGACCGGCCACAUUGGGACUGAGAUACGGCCCAGACUCCUACGGGAGGCAGAAGUGGGGAAUAUUGCAAAAUGGGCGGAAGCCUGAUGCAGCAACGCCGCGUGCGGGAUGACGGCCUUCGGGUUGUAAACCGCUUUCGCCUGUGACGAAGCGUGAGUGACGGUAAUGGGUAAAGAAGAACCGGCUAACUACGUG
This 468-nucleotide ribosomal RNA is filed under the name uncultured bacterium. RNAcentral describes it as "partial 16S ribosomal RNA". It matches the Rfam family "Bacterial small subunit ribosomal RNA", at positions 28 to 507 of the family's 1533-position model. The record is from RNAcentral.